AUGCUCCUAUGUUGUGUUAAGUGUUGGCAGAUAUCUGAACCCCGCCCUAGCGGUUCGGAACUUAAACCCCGGAACUUCUCCCUCCCCAUAUGAAGUCCGGGGCUUUUUUUUGCCUCAAA
RNAcentral lists this small RNA (119 nucleotides) under Pseudomonas putida. RNAcentral describes it as "Pseudomon-1 RNA". It matches the Rfam family "Pseudomon-1/ErsA RNA". From Rfam's summary of the family: Functions to regulate the AlgC enzyme. Based on this information, the new name ErsA for the RNA was adopted. Negatively regulates major porin oprD expression responsible for uptake of carbapenem antibiotics, by base pairing with oprD 5'UTR (leading to increased bacterial resistance to meropenem). The record is from RNAcentral. Lineage: Bacteria; Pseudomonadati; Pseudomonadota; Gammaproteobacteria; Pseudomonadales; Pseudomonadaceae. RNAcentral also lists the same sequence under 3 other names.